Oreochromis niloticus (Nile tilapia) is the source of this 1643-nucleotide long non-coding RNA. RefSeq lists it as uncharacterized. The record is from RefSeq and is a predicted model, not a curated record. Lineage: Eukaryota; Metazoa; Chordata; Actinopteri; Cichliformes; Cichlidae. The transcript is spliced from 2 exons.
CCGCCUUGCUACUCUGAACCCUGCUUUAAUAGCGCCAUCUGUAAGGACAAUGGGUGAAGUACAGCUGUGAAUGCUGGCCUGGUAAAGGGCCACCUGGCCUCUUGCUCAGAUAAUGUGGAGAAUAAUAAACAAGGAAACUAAGACAGAUGUAUUCAUUUGAACUUAUUCACACCUGAAAAACAACAAGCUCUGUCCAGAACAGCCUGUCCCCGUGUUAUCUUUAAUGAACAUCAUAUGUAGUGUUGAUCAUAUUAAAUAUCCUUCCUCCUUCCAGGGUUUGAGGGCCGUCAUCAAUGAGUGUGGCAGCAGUGCUUGAAGAAACGGCAGCAGCUGCAUUGAGAGAUCUUGACAUGCCUUGUAUGGCAGUGAGCCUCUUCUGCCUGAAAGCUAUGGCCACAAACAGUCUGCAGGUUACAUCUACAGGUGUCCUCCAGGAACAACAGGACUGUUUUGCCCUCACACAGUGGAGUGUCUUUGAACAUGAUGACCCAGAGACUCACACAAUAGCAGUGCUGGGUUACAUCAAGCACUGCAUGGACACUGUCACCACGGGUCAGGGUCUACCCCAACUGUAAACCCUGGAUGACAAGUAAGGUUCAGGCAUUGUUAAAGGCACACAACUCUGCAUACAAAUCUGGGGACCAGGACAUGUACAGCAGAGCAAGAGCAGACCUUAAAAAAGGCAGAGGACUAUUCACCUCUCUGAUAACAACUCCAGAAAGGUAUGGGAGGGCCUGAAACACGUCACCAAUGGCAAUGAGACAAAUAUAGAUAAUAUGGAUGUCUCAUUAGCAGAGGAACUUAACCACUUCUUUGCCCACUUGGAGAAAACUGCAGUCACCCCCACCAUGCACACCGCCUGCCCACAGCCUCCUCUGAGCACAGCCUCUACACAUUUAGCCUCCAAGAACACCAGCUUUGCAAUGUGUUCAGAGCAGUAAAUCAGAGGGAAGCUGCUGGCCCUGACAGAAUACCUGGUAGAGUGCUCAAAGCCUGCGCCAACCAGCUGGCUCCUGUGUUCACCAGACUAUUCAACCUCUCCCUGACACAUGCCUCUGUCCCUCACUCACUGCCUGAAGUCAGCAACAAUAGUCCCAGUCCCCAGGUCCACCACCAUCAGUGGCCUCAGCGACUCCAGUGGUUGCAAAGUGCUUAGAGAAGCUGGUCUUAAAACACAUAAAGGACUGCCUCCCACCCAGCUCGACCCCCACCCGUUUGCCUACAAGGCAAACAGGUCCACAGAGGAUGCAAUUUCCACCGCCCUCCACUCCGCUCUGCAUCACCUGGAGAAUCCUGGGACAUCAGUAAGGAUGCUCUUCAUUGAUUUCAGCUCGGCCUUCAAUGCCAUCAUCCCAGACAUUCUUAUAGACAAGCUGGUAAACUUGGACUCCCCCCCCCCACACACACACACAUACACACAUGUGCAUGGAUCAGAAACUUCCUCCCAGACCGUUCACAAUCAGUCAAGGUUGGCAACCAGAGAUCAUCCACCCUGUCACUCAGCACUGGCUCACCACAGGGAUGUGUGCUGAGUCCACUCCUAUACACCAUCUACACCAGUGACUGCAUCCCCACACACCCCUGCAACAUCAUCAUCAAAUUUGAGAUGAGGUCCAGCAGCUGUCAGAAUGGUGUGACUACAA